CAAUAGCGUAUAUUAAAGUUGUUGCGGUUAAAAAGCUCGUAGUUGGAUUUCUGCUGAGGACGACCGGUCCGCCCAUUGGGUGUGUAUCUGGCUUGUUCUCGGCAUCUUCUUGGUGAACGUUGCUGCACUUGACUGUGUGGAGCGCUACCCAGGACUUUUACUUUGAGGAAAUUAGAGUGUUUCAAGCAGGCAUAUGCCUUGAAUACAUUAGCAUGGAAUAAUAAGAUAGGACCUCGGUUCUAUUUUGUUGGUUUCUAGAGCUGAGGUAAUGAUUAAUAGGGAUAGUUGGGGGCAUUCGUAUUUAACUGUCAGAGGUGAAAUUCUUGGAUUUGCUAAAGACGGACUACUGCGAAAGCAUUUGCCAAGGAUGUUUUCAUUGA
Molecule: ribosomal RNA, 380 nt
Filed under: uncultured eukaryote
Lineage: Eukaryota
Description: partial 18S ribosomal RNA
Rfam family: Eukaryotic small subunit ribosomal RNA
Source: RNAcentral